CUGCGGAUUCUUGGCGGUGCCGGCGUGGUUGCCGGGGCCCUACCUACGGGUGAAGCCGGUGGAGGAGAUUCGGAUUGGGGGAAACCCCUUGGUUGGCCCAGGCCGGCCGUGCCGACGACGACGCUCAAGGGCGCCGUUAUUCUUUUUGGAGACGUCGGUAUACAUCUGCUCCUCUGCUCCCCUUCCUUGCCUCUCGGGUGAAAACCCUAACUCCGG
This 216-nucleotide long non-coding RNA is filed under the name Hordeum vulgare. RNAcentral's name for it is "long non-coding RNA (HVUL_LNC014214)". The record is from RNAcentral. Lineage: Eukaryota; Viridiplantae; Streptophyta; Magnoliopsida; Poales; Poaceae.